RNAcentral lists this ribosomal RNA (253 nucleotides) under uncultured bacterium. Its description in RNAcentral is "partial 16S ribosomal RNA". It matches the Rfam family "Bacterial small subunit ribosomal RNA", at positions 524 to 776 of the family's 1533-position model. The record is from RNAcentral.
GACAGAGGGGGCAAGCGUUGCUCGGAAUUACUGGGCGUAAAGGGCGCGUAGGCGGGAUGGCAAGUCGGUCGUGAAAUCCCUCGGCUCAACUGAGGAUCGUCGAUCGAUACUGCCGUUCUUGAGGAUUGCAGAGGAGACUGGAAUUCCCGGUGUAGCGGUGAAAUGUGUAGAGAUCGGGAGGAACACCGGUGGCGAAGGCGGGUCUCUGGGCAUUCCCUGACGCUGAGGCGCGAAAGCGUGGGGAGCAAACGGG